GCCGAGGAACCACGGUUCCGAAGUGAUUGAUACCCAGCUUCCAGGAAAAGCCACUAAGCUUCAGUCUAGAGUUGACCGUACCGCAAACCGACACAGGUGGGCAGGAUGAAAAUUCUAAGGCGCUUGAGAGAACUCAGGAGAAGGAACUCGGCAAAUUAACACCGUAACUUCGGGAGAAGGUGUGCCCCGGUAGCGUGUAGAGACUUGCUCUCGAAGCGCGAUGGGGUUGCAGUGAAAUGGUGGCUGCGACUGUUUAAUAAAAACACAGCACUCUGCAAACACGAAAGUGGACGUAUAGGGUGUGACGCCUGCCCGGUGCCGGAAGGUUAAGUGAUGGGGUGCAAGCUCUUGAUCGAAGCCCCGGUAAACGGCGGCCGUAACAAUAACGGUCCUAAGGUAGCGAAAUUCCUUGUCGGGUAAGUUCCGACCUGCACGAAUGGCGUAACGAUGGCCACACUGUCUCCUCCUGGGACUCAGCGAAGUUGAAAUGUUUGUGAAGAUGCAAUCUACCCGCGGCUAGACGGAAAGACCCCAUGAACCUUUACUGUAGCUUUGCAUUGGACUUUGAACCGGUUUGUGUAGGAUAGGUGGGAGACUGUGAAGCCGGGACGCUAGUUUCGGUGGAGUCAACCUUGAAAUACCACCCUGAUUUGUUUGAGGUUCUAACCUUGGUCCGUGAAUCCGGAUCGGGGACCGUGCAUGGUAGGCAGUUUGACUGGGGCGGUCUCCUCCCAAAAGGUAACGGAGGAGUACGAAGGUACGCUUAGGGCGGUCGGACAUCGCCCACAAAGUGCAAUGGCAAAAGCGUGCUUGACUGCGAGACCCACAAGUCGAGCAGGUACGAAAGUAGGUCAUAGUGAUCCGGUGGUUCUGUAUGGAAGGGCCAUCGCUCAACGGAUAAAAGGUACUCUGGGGAUAACAGGCUAAUUCCUCCCAAGAGUUCAUGUCGACGGGGGAGUUUGGCACCUCGAUGUCGGCUCAUCACAUCCUGGGGCUGUAGUCGGUCCCAAGGGUAUGGCUGUUCGCCAUUUAAAGUGGUACGCGAGCUGGGUUUAAAACGUCGUGAGACAGUUUGGUCCCUAUCUGCCGUGGGCGCUGGAAAUUUGAAGGGGGCUGCUCCUAGUACGAGAGGACCGGAGUGGACGAACCUCUGGUGUACCGGUUAUGACGCCAGUCGUAUCGCCGGGUAGCUAAGUUCGGAAGAGAUAAACGCUGAAAGCAUCUAAGCGUGAAACUCGCCUUAAGAUAAGAUUUCCCGGAGUCUUGAACUCCCUGAAGGGUCGUCGAAGACCACGACGUUGAUAGGUCAGGUGUGGAAGCGCAGCAAUGCGUUAAGCUAACUGAUACUAAUUGCC
RNAcentral lists this ribosomal RNA (1355 nucleotides) under metagenome. RNAcentral describes it as "bacterial LSU rRNA". It matches the Rfam family "Bacterial large subunit ribosomal RNA", at positions 1568 to 2909 of the family's 2925-position model. The record is from RNAcentral.